Molecule: ribosomal RNA, 460 nt
Filed under: uncultured bacterium
Lineage: Bacteria
Description: partial 16S ribosomal RNA
Rfam family: Bacterial small subunit ribosomal RNA
Source: RNAcentral
CCUACGGGAGGCAGCAGUGAGGAAUAUUGGUCAAUGGACGAGAGUCUGAACCAGCCAAGUAGCGUGAAGGAUGACUGCCCUAUGGGUUGUAAACUUCUUUUAUAAAGGAAUAAAACGAGGCACGUGUGCCUUUUUGCAUGUACUUUAUGAAUAAGGAUCGGCUAACUCCGUGCCAGCAGCCGCGGUAAUACGGAGGAUCCGAGCGUUAUCCGGAUUUAUUGGGUUUAAAGGGAGCGUAGAUGGGUUGUUAAGUCAGUUGUGAAAGUUUGCGGCUCAACCGUAAAAUUGCAAUUGAUACUGGCAGUCGUGAGUACAGUUGAGGUAGGCGGAAUUCGUGGUGUAGCGGUGAAAUGCUUAGAUAUCACGAAGAACCCCGAUUGCGAAGGCAGCUUACUAAACUGUGACUGACAUUGAUGCUCGAAAGUGUGGGUAUCAAACAGGAUUAGAUACCCUAGUAGCC